Long non-coding RNA from Leptopilina heterotoma, 769 nucleotides. RefSeq lists it as uncharacterized. The record is from RefSeq and is a predicted model, not a curated record. Lineage: Eukaryota; Metazoa; Arthropoda; Insecta; Hymenoptera; Figitidae. The transcript is spliced from 4 exons.
GGUCAUAUAUUUCUUCUUCGUUAAAUAUAUAUAUAUAAAGAAUGAUUCUCUCUUUUCUUUCUGUUUUAAUAUGAGAAACAAUAUUUUUCUUUCCGUUAUUUCAUUUUUAUUUUCGUUUCAUUAUUUUUGGGAUAUAUAAUUUUUCCUUAUUUUCUGAAUUCUCUUUAUUUUAAGUUCUAAGUGGAGCAAAAAAAUUUUAUAAAUUAUAAUAAAAGAAACAUUAGAAAAUGACGAGAAAUCGAAGAAGACAAGAAGAUGGAGAUGUAAUUUCAGACAAGUGUUGACUUUUAUCGUUAAAUUGUAAAACGAUGAGUCUAAAAUGAAAUCAAUUAAAAUCGUGUCACAACGUUCGCAUUGUCAGAACAUUUGGAAAAUUUAAACUUCAAUAACUGCAAACUAUACGUGUAAUAUAACAGCAAAUAGAGUGAAAAUACCAACAAUGUUGAAAAUUUACUUGUCGUUAUUUAUUGUAACAUUUUUAUUAUUUACUAAUGAGUGUGAUGCUGAAUGUUGUCCUCCAAUUGCUACCAUUCAUAUAAAUUGUACGAAUGUGCCAGGAAAGUGCUUAGCUAAAAUUUGUGAGGAUGGUACUGAAAUUUGGAAUGGAGUUUAUUGUGGUUAUGGACCUUGUAAUAUUUUUGGAUGUAACUGUGAGGGUGGCUGUAGACGUAAAAAAAAUUGACAAAAUUAUUUUUAUCGAAAUUAUUCACUAUGUAUGAAUAAUUAUUGUUAUUUUACAAAUUUUAUUUGCAAAUAAAGAGAAUUGAUA